This 28-nucleotide non-coding RNA is filed under the name Mus musculus (house mouse). The record is from RNAcentral. Lineage: Eukaryota; Metazoa; Chordata; Mammalia; Rodentia; Muridae.
UNCACUUAACAGAUACAGGAUGCCUCUU